GACGAACGCUGGCGGCGUGCUUAACACAUGCAAGUCGAACGGUGAACCUGCUUCGGUGGGGGACCAGUGGCGAACGGGUGAGUAACACGUGGGCAACCUGCCCUCAGCUCUGGGAUAACUCCAAGAAAUUGGGGCUAAUACCGGAUAUGUCCGCUGACCGCAUGGUCUGGUGGUGGAAAGAUUUAUCGGCUGGGGAUGGGCCCGCGGCCUAUCAGCUUGUUGGUGGGGUAGUGGCCUACCAAGGCGACGACGGGUAGCCGGCCUGAGAGGGUGACCGGCCACACUGGGACUGAGACGCGGCCCAGACUCCUACGGGAGGCAGCAGUGGGGAAUAUUGCGCAAUGGGCGAAAGCCUGACGCAGCGACGCCGCGUGGGGAUGACGGCCU
This 387-nucleotide ribosomal RNA is filed under the name uncultured bacterium. Its description in RNAcentral is "bacterial SSU rRNA". It matches the Rfam family "Bacterial small subunit ribosomal RNA", at positions 28 to 417 of the family's 1533-position model. The record is from RNAcentral.